CCUACGGGAGGCAGCAGUGGGGGAUAUUGCACAAUGGGGGGAACCCUGAUGCAGCGACGCCGCGUGGGUGAAGAAGCGCCUCGGCGCGUAAAGCCCUGUCAGCAGGGAAGAAAAUGACGGUACCUGAAGAAGAAGCCCCGGCUAACUACGUGCCAGCAGCCGAGGUAAUACGUAGGGGGCAAGGGUUAUCCGGAUUUACUGGGUGUAAAGGGGGCGCAGGCGGCGAUGCAAGCCAGGAGUGAAAGCCCGGGGGCCAACCCCGGGACGGCUCUUGGAACUGCGUGGCUGGAGUGCAGGAGGGGCAGGCGGAAUUCCUGGUGUAGCGGUGAAAUGCGUAGAUAUCAGGAGGAACACCGGUGGCGAAGGCGGCCUGCUGGACUGCAACUGACGUUGAGGCCCGAAAGCGUGGGGAGCAAACAGGAUUAGAUACCCUUGUAGUC
This 440-nucleotide ribosomal RNA is filed under the name uncultured bacterium. RNAcentral describes it as "partial 16S ribosomal RNA". It matches the Rfam family "Bacterial small subunit ribosomal RNA", at positions 338 to 795 of the family's 1533-position model. The record is from RNAcentral.